RNAcentral lists this small RNA (123 nucleotides) under Arabidopsis thaliana (thale cress). RNAcentral's name for it is "ATSL017130". Lineage: Eukaryota; Viridiplantae; Streptophyta; Magnoliopsida; Brassicales; Brassicaceae. The record is from RNAcentral.
AUAUACUACCAUUAGUACACCAAUUUUAACAAUAUCACGUACACCGUCGGCUGAGUUUAAAUAAAAAUUGCUACAUAUUUUUGAAAUAUAGCAAAAUUAGACUUUUUAGAUUCACAUAAAAAU